Molecule: long non-coding RNA, 4832 nt
Filed under: Sus scrofa (pig)
Lineage: Eukaryota; Metazoa; Chordata; Mammalia; Artiodactyla; Suidae
Description: lncRNA (ENSSSCG00000063139.1)
Source: RNAcentral
CAGUACCAGUGUUGGGUGUGAGUCAGAUUGCCUCUAGAACCCAAAGAAAUCUACCAGGUGUUAUGCUUCCUUCUUUGUGCCAGGAGAUGUAAGAUGUAGCGUCUUUUACUUUAGAGUUGUCCUGGCUUGUCCCUGGUCAGUGAACUCAAAAACUUCCUGAAGUGGCAAGUCCCUGAAGCUACAUGAAGUUUUAUCUCCCACUUUCUGACGUUUGCAUGCCUUAUUAAGGCCUCCAGGAUACAAACCAACUUUUGUUGUCCUGCCAGAUCAACAUCAUACCACUAAUGCUUUGGAUCAAUGUGAUGAUAUAGACUCUUUGAACUCUGUUGUGACAGAAUAUGGAGAGUUAACAUAGCCCUGGAGCAAAACAGUAAGUGAAUCUUGUUGUCCCUUCCAUGUCAAUGUGAACAAUUUCUUCCUUCCUUCCUUUCUCCCUUCCUCUUUCUUUUUUUCCCUUUCUUUCUUUCUUUCGUUUUCUUUCUCUCUCUCUCUCUUCCUUCCUUCCUUCCUUCAUUCUUCCCUUCCUUUUUAAACUGUUGCACCUGCGGUACAUGGAAGUUCCCAGACUAGGAGUAGAAUCAGAAUUGAAGCUGCCGGCCUACACCACAGCCACAACAACCCUGGCUCCUUAACCCACUGAGCAAGGCCGGGGAUCAAACCUGCAUCCUCACAGACACUAUGUUGAGUUCUUAAUCUGCUGAACCACAAUGGGCACUCUGAUGUGAAGAAUGCAAUCCUCAAAUCAGUGGCCGUGCAUCAUACAAUUGAGGUCUUCCUGAUUUGUUUUACCAUCAAAAAGUCUGGCACAGCAACUGCUGUAGAGUCACUACUUGGUUGAGCUUGUGGAAAUCUGUAGUCAUACUCCAGGACCCAUGUGGCUUCUGUAGGUGUCAGAUGGGUGAAUUAAAUGGAGAUAAGGUAAGGACUUUCACCAUGCAUCCUUUAAAUCUUUAAUGGUGGUUGAAUUGUUCACAGUUUUGCGGAAUAACAGAACCAAAAGGAGAUUGAUAGAUUGAUAGAUUGAUAAACAGACAGGUAGAUGGAUGGAUGGAUAUAUAGUAGAUAGACAAUUUAAAUAAAUAUAUUAAUACAUUUUUAAUCAAUAACUUUUAAAUUUAUUUUUUAUUCUUAUUUCCCUCGACACACUUUUUUUUUCCCCACUGUACAGCAUGGGGACCCAGUUACACAUACCUGUAUACAUAAUUUUUCUCCCAUUGUUGUUUGCUGCAUUGUAAGUACCUAGACAUAGUUCUCAGUACUACACAGCAGGAUCUCAUUGUUAAUCCAUUCCAAGAGCAAUAGUUUGCAUCCGUUAACCUCAAGCUCCCAAUCCCUCCCCCUCCCCCCAGGCAACCACAAGUGUAUUCUCCAAGUCCAUUGAUUUUCUUUUCUGUGGAAACGUUCAUUUGUGCUGUAUAUUAGAUAGCAGAUAUCACAUGGUAUCUGUCUUUCUCUUUCUGACUUAUUUCACUCAGGAUGAGAGUCUCUAGUUCCAUCCAUGUUGCUGCAAAUGGCAUUAUUUCAUUCUUUUUUAUGGCCGAGUAGUGUUCCAUUGUGUAUAUAUACCACAUCUUCCUAAUCCAGGUGUCUUUUUUGUUUGUUUGUUUGUUUGUUGUCUUUUUGCUUUUGCUAGGGCUGCUCCCAUGGCAUAUGGAGAUUCCCAGGCUAGGGGUCUAAUCAGAGCUGUAGCCACCAGCCUACGCCAGAGCUACCGAAACGCAGGAUCUGAGCCUCCUCUGUGACCUACACCACAGCUCACGGCAAGGCCAGAUCCUUAAUCCACUGAGCAAGGCCAGGGAUUGAACCCGCACCCUCAUGGUUCCUUCUCGUUAACCACUGAGCCACGAGGGGAACUCCUCCAGGCAUCUGUUAAUGGACAUUUGGGUUGUUUCCAUGUCUUAGCUAUUGUGAAUAGAGCUGCAAUGAACGUGCAGGUGCAUGUGUCUUUUUUAAGGAAAGUUUUGUCUGGAUAUAUGUCCAAGAAUAAUUUUUUUUAAUUUAAAGAGCUUUCUUUGGCUCAUGGGAUUCUGGAGGCUUGGGAAUCCAAAAUCUGAUGGAGGAGACCAGCAGGCUGAAGAAUCAGGACUGAGUUGCAGUUCUAGUCCAAAGACAAUCUGCUGACAAACCAGGAAGAGCAGAUGUUGCAAGUGAGGUCCAAAGGCAGUCUACUGACAUAAAUUCCCCUUUGCUCAGAAGAGAUCAGAUUUUUGUUCUCUCAGUUUUCAAUUGAUUCCAUGAAGCUCAUCCACCUUAUGGAGGGCACUCUACUUUGCUUAAGUCUCUUGGUUUAAAUCAAGAUCACAUCCAAAAAUACCCUCACAGAAAUAUCCAGAAUGAUGUUUGACCAAAUAUCCAGGCACCACAGCCCAGUCAAGUUGACACAUAAAGCUAACCAUCACAGUGGUUCUAAUAUCUGCCUUCAUUUCUGGAAUACAGUAUUUUUUUUUUUUAAGAGCCACGCAUGGGGCGUAUGGACGUUCCCAGGCUAGGGGUCAAAUCGGAGCUGUAGCCGCUGGCCUACACCACAGCCACAGCAACAUGGGCUCCGAGCCACAGCUUGGGGCAAUGCUGGAUCUUAACCCACUGACCAAGGCCAGGGAUCAAACCCAUAUCUUCACCGAGAUUAUGCCGGGUUCUUAACUUGCUGAGCCAUAAAGGGAACUCUGCAAUAUUAUUUUUUAUCUCAGUUUGGGAAAGCGGUAGUUUCAGAGGCUUCCUUUUGGCAUUUCCCCAACAUGAUGGUUCUUACUCUUCUAGCCAAGGACUUAAGUGAGUCCAACUGCCGUGAACGUUAAUCCUAAUUUUUCACUAAGAACCACUGAAUUGAUCACCACCUGAGUUCAGGGACCCAGUGGGCCCACUGUAAGCUGCCUAUGCUCCUGGGUCCCAGCUCUGAUGUGAGGAUGCUGUAGAUUCUCAGGUAUCAAUGCCAGCUUUGAAAGGAUGUCUGAAGUCCUCAAUACUUGUAAUUUCUUUUCCCAGUGUAUAGCCAUCUAAGCCAAUGGCUGUAGGUCACAGUUAAUAUUUGUCACAGCCUUGCAGGGUUCUUCCGCCACAGCCAUCUCUCAGUCACUGUGCUCUGGGUCUGAAAAUUGCCUCAGGUCCAAUAACUGAGCAGUGAAUCAUACAUUCUUAUUGGGGCCACUACCCUUAUCCUCCUAUUUCUCCAUUCCUGCCUGUUUCUGAUUAUAGAUGUUAAAUGGUACUCUCAUCAGUUACCCUUCUAUUUUGCCCAUAGGGACGCCAGAUGCUAUUUGCCAUUUCCAUAACUUCCUGUGGGCCAGGCCCCCUUAACCGCCCGCUAUUCCAGUCUUGCUGGUAGUUCUAGUGAUGGUUGCCCCCUGGCUUCCAUUUACUUGCUUAUGUGGCUUCUACCACUUUGGCGUGUGCUGUAAAUGAGUUCACUUCCUCUCUGGCCUGCAAGAAGAGCCACCCCUGGACUUUUCAGGGUGCUGGUGCCUCUCUCACCAGUGCAUCCCUGAUGGCCUUGGAGAACGCUCUGUUCUCUGGGCUCUGCUGUGAAAACCUAACUUCUGAUGGGUCCUCUAGUCUCACACUAUGAGUCCAUUCCAGCUUAUCCCUUCUCACUGCCUUUUUAUUCCUCCCCUCCCAUCUGCCAUGGCCACUCAGGCACUUGCAUUCAGCAUGGGUCAUCACCGUUUCCAGGCUUCCAAGAGCCCGGCUUUUCUACACUGAGUUUGCCCCAUCCCCUGGGCAGGGGCGUGUCCUUGUUACAGUGUUAAAUCCCAUUUCCCAAGAACAUGUUCCAAGUCAAACCAUCUCUCUCUCACACUGUGCCUGUUUCUGUCUCAUUACUUCUCAACAUCUCAUCAUUGCUCCGUAGGGUAUCAAUAGAACUUGGAGAUAACCAGCCCACACCACUAUACUUAUAGGCAUUAUUCGCCCCAUGUCUUUCAAAUAUCUACAUCUUCAAACUAGCAAAGCUGUUCCCCUCUCCCAGGACACAUUCCCAGGUCAUCCCCAGUGAAAGCUUCAGCGGAUGUGGAGCCUCCUCGGGCCAAGCUCUACCCAUUUCCCACGUUCCACUCAGGCGGAGGUCCUACUCCAGCCAAGCAUAAAUGAACAGUCCUCAAACCAGUUUCACUGCCUGCUUUCUUAGGCCAUUCUCUACCGACCGUGUCAGUUGGGCUUCCUGGGUAGUGGACACCAAGCCAAAAGUAGAUGAGCAAAAGCUGUAUUGGGGAAAUACUUGUGAAGGAUGAAGAGGAGGGGGAACAAGACUAGGUGGGAGGAAAUUGGAACCACAAAACAGGUAAGAAUUUGUGAAAGGAGAGGGGGAAGGAGGGAAGAUGGGAUCGGAAGAGCCCCAGGCUGCAGUGUGGCUCUGAGAAAAUCUUGGCCAGGCAUUUGGGGAUUCUGGGGCAAAGACUGCCCACUGGAAGAAUCUUGUGUGAGGCUGAAGAAGCCCAGCUAGAGUACGCCAUUGUGUUUAAUUGUUGGCAAGGAGCUUCCUGGGAGGGAGAAUGGCCUCAAUCCGAAGGCUGCAGACCUGGAGGUACAGUGGCUAGCUGGAGGUUGCCAGCCAACUAGAGUUCACCCACUACCUGAAGGGAGAUCUGAGUGGCCCACCUCCACGGUCAAGUCUAACUGGCAGGAGCAGGAAGAAAAGAAGCCGGGGACGGGAGACCACGUGGAAAAUAGAGCAGGAGCCUGCCAAGGAGCUCUGUGGAUAAUAAGCAUGGGCAUGUGCAAAUUUUACCUUUGCUUCUGUGUGUGUGUGUGUGUGGUGGGCUGGGUUAUGUUACCACAGGUGUGAAUGGGUCCAUGCAAGUAUGUGGGCUGCCAUGAGAUAUGAGCCUUGACAGAGAAGG